RNAcentral lists this ribosomal RNA (280 nucleotides) under uncultured bacterium. RNAcentral describes it as "partial 16S ribosomal RNA". It matches the Rfam family "Bacterial small subunit ribosomal RNA", at positions 506 to 784 of the family's 1533-position model. The record is from RNAcentral.
UGCCAGCCGCCGCGGUAAUACGGAGGGUGCAAGCGUUAAUCGGAAUUACUGGGCGUAAAGCGCGCGUAGGCGGUUUUGUAAGUCGGAUGUGAAAUCCCCGGGCUUAACCUGGGAACUGCACUCGAUACUGCAUAACUAGAGUAUGGUAGAGGGAAGUGGAAUUUCCGGUGUAGCGGUGAAAUGCGUAGAUAUAUAAAGGAAUGUCAGUGGCGAAGGCAAUUGUCUGGGUUAUUUACUGACGUUGAGGAACGAAAGUAUGGGUAGCAAACAGGAUUAGAUA